AGGGAAAGGCGAAAAGAACCCCGGCGAGGGGAGUGAAAAAGAACCUGAAACCGUGUACGUACAAGCAGUGGGAGCCCCACCACCAAAGCAUUCUCUGGUGUUGAAGGCCCUGCAAAGCAGCAUCGCGGUGGYGGAGCGUCGUUUGCGACGCCCAACACACAAAACAAGCGGUGAGUGCUUUGGGGUGGGGUGACUGCGUACCUUUUGUAUAAUGGGUCAGCGACUUAUAUUCUGUAGCAAGGUUAACCGYAUAGGGGAGCCGKAGGGAAACCGAGUCUUAACCGGGCGUUAAGUUGCAGGGUAUAGACCCGAAACCCGGUGAUCUAGCCAUGGGCAGGUUGAAGGUUGGGUAACACUAACUGGAGGACCGAACCGACUAAUGUUGAAAAAUUAGCGGAUGACCUGUGGCUGGGGGUGAAAGGCCAAUCAAACCGGGAGAUAGCUGGUUCUCCCCGAAAGCUAUUUAGGUAGCGCCUCGUGAAUUCAUCUCCGGGGGUAGAGCACUGUUUCGG
This 512-nucleotide ribosomal RNA is filed under the name Salmonella enterica. Its description in RNAcentral is "partial 23S ribosomal RNA". Lineage: Bacteria; Pseudomonadati; Pseudomonadota; Gammaproteobacteria; Enterobacterales; Enterobacteriaceae. The record is from RNAcentral.